AGCUCCAAUAGCGUAUAUUAAAGUUGUUGCAGUUAAAAAGCUCGUAGUUGGAUUUCUGACUUUGACAUUCGGUCCAUUUGCCUUUGGCAUUUGAGUACUUUGUGAUGUUGUAGUCAUUUUUUGUGAGAGAGAUUUGCUGCCAUUAAGUUGGUGGCUUUUCAAUCUUGCAUCUUUUACUGUGAAAAAAUUAGAGUGUUUAAAGCAGGCGUUUGCCAAAUUUUUGAAUACAUUAGCAUGGAAUAAUAAGAUAUGACUUUGGUGGUCUAUUUUGUUGGUUUGCACACUAGAGUAAUGAUUAAUAGGGACAGUUGGGGGUAUUUAUAUUCCGUCGUCAGAGGUGAAAUUCUUGGAUCGGCGGAAGAUAAACUAAUGCGAAAGCAUUUACCAAGGAUGUUUUCAUUA
This 402-nucleotide ribosomal RNA is filed under the name Eurychasma sp. Its description in RNAcentral is "partial small subunit ribosomal RNA". It matches the Rfam family "Eukaryotic small subunit ribosomal RNA", at positions 587 to 975 of the family's 1831-position model. The record is from RNAcentral. Lineage: Eukaryota; Oomycota; Myzocytiopsidales; Eurychasmataceae.